Molecule: transfer RNA, 64 nt
Filed under: Coleoptera sp. 14 KM-2017
Lineage: Eukaryota; Metazoa; Arthropoda; Insecta; Coleoptera
Description: tRNA-Cys
Source: RNAcentral
GUUCAAAUAUUCAACUAUGAUUUCAAAUUGCAAGUUUGAAGGUGAGUAAAAUGCUUUUUGGACU